GGGCUCAUGGUCUAGUUGGUUAUGACGUCGCCUUGACACGGCGGAGGUCGGGAGUUCAAAUCUCCCUGAGCCCA
This 74-nucleotide transfer RNA is filed under the name Thermoplasmata archaeon. RNAcentral's name for it is "tRNA-Val". It matches the Rfam family "tRNA". Rfam says of the family: Transfer RNA (tRNA) molecules are approximately 80 nucleotides in length. Their secondary structure includes four short double-helical elements and three loops (D, anti-codon, and T loops). The record is from RNAcentral. Lineage: Archaea; Methanobacteriati; Thermoplasmatota; Thermoplasmata.